Cryptomeria japonica (Japanese cedar) is the source of this 2120-nucleotide long non-coding RNA. RefSeq lists it as uncharacterized. The record is from RefSeq and is a predicted model, not a curated record. The transcript has 4 exons. Lineage: Eukaryota; Viridiplantae; Streptophyta; Pinopsida; Cupressales; Cupressaceae.
CAUAGCCUGAAAACGAUAUUUAAUCAUUCAAAUGACCUGUCAGUGCUCAACAUUGGCAAAGAAACUUCUAAAUCAACUGGCACAAAAUAACAGCAGUUUCUCUUAAAACUGUUACGAAAGGACCUGCAAUUUUGCAGCUACCAUCCUAAAUUCAUCCCAAUCCAUUUCUAUAUAUAUCCGUUUCCUUUUGCUCUUUUCAUUACCUAUUUUAGGGUUUUUCCUCUCUUUUUCUUGUUUUUCUUUUUCCUGCAAACGAAAUCUUGGGGUUUUCUAUUCUUUUGCUGCAAAUAAAAUCGAAACCAUUUAUUUUUUGCUUGGCCUGUUCUGUCUCUGUCCGAUCAGAAAAUAUUAUUUGGUGUUCAUUCCAUUUUGUGUUUUUUUUUUUUUUAAUUUCAGUAAUAUUCAAGGUCCCAGAUUUGAACAUGCUUUGAGGACUGUAAUGAUUUUUUAAGCAAAAUUAGCACACACCAUAAGUUCAUCUUUAAGUUGUUUUCCAGAUUAGGUAGAUUAGGUUUCAAAUAAGUUGCGCCACACCCCAGAGCAAAUCAGAUCCCUUGAAAGGUCACGCCCAAUCGAGGUUUUUCAAACAAGUAUUAAUUAAUUGGUUGAAGGUAUAUUGAAUUCUUUAAACCUUUUUUGUAAUACGAGUCCAGGGUUUGUUUCGUUUUGGGUAGACCUUAGAAUUGGAAUUAAAUGAAAGGGCAUAAAAUGGGAUUUAUGGAAAUGGUGGAAGUUCUUUGAGGGCGUGGAGGUUGAUAUAUGAGUGUGAUUGAAAUGCAAUCCAUGUUGCAGUCUCUGGUUGCCCUAAUGAAUUGGGAAUGAGGAGAGAUAAUAUUGCUGAGAGGUUUUGCAUAUGUACGUGAAUUGGGGAAGAGGAGAAAUAAUAUUGCUGAGAGGCUUUACAUAUGUACGUCUUACAGUUGAGAUGCUGUGAAUGUGAUACAGAUGUUAGUCAAAUGAAGAUCAUAUCGAUGAUGGUGAAAAUGAAAAAGAUGCUGUUAUUUAUAGCGGUUUGAUGAUAAUAAGUUUCCCAGCAGUAUUGGUGAUGCAGACAGACAGGAAUGAAGGUUGAAUUUCUGACACAAGAAAUGAAGAAGAAUCACAAAUUUUAAAAGAGGUCAUCGGGAUGAAAGAGAUCCUUGCAAAUCAGGAUGAGGAAAGAGAAUCGGUUGCAGAAGCACAAGUCAAAAACUAUUAGCUUUAUGUCGAAGAAGCUUGUCAGAUGGAAGCAUAUUUGAUUUUUAUAACAGCUUUAUGGAUUUAAACUGCUGGAAAUGUUGCUGUGGCUGCAAUAACAGGAACAUUCUGUUUCACCAGCAAGUGCUGACAAUCAUGUAAGAUCAUUUCAUGGUAAGCCAUAUACUCAUAUAGCCAAAAGGUUAAGUUCUCUACGGGUCAGUGCUGUUCGGGGUCCCUCGGUUGUUUCCCUUUUUUCUCUAAAGUUCAAAAUGAGAUGACAGGAAAUGAAAAUUUUACCUCAUCCCUACUUGUAAGAGUGUCUUUAUCCUAAAGACCUCUUUGACAAAUUGAGAUUCUUCCUCGAUUUUUUUUGUCAGAGCUUCAACCUUCUCAACCUGUAACUUUGAUCCUAUUAUUGCUUUUGGCGACCUUAUUAUUACUGAAACUCUUAUUAAUACCACCAUCAUGUUUAUUUUCCAUUAUCCACAUGAUCUUCAGCAGCGGCACCUGAGAGAUCUUGAUGUGUAAAGCAUCUCAGCUCUCUUAUCUCUCCUCUUCCUUAAUUCGUGAGGGCAAUCAGAGGCUGCAACGAGGAUCGCAUAUUCAAUCACACUACAUAUAUCAGCGUCCAUUUUUUCGUAGAUCCUAUUUUAUGUCUUAUCAUUAACUUGAAUUUUGAGGCCUGCUCACAACAGAACAAUGUCUGGAGUCAAUGUUAUGGACGAGGAUUAAAGAUACCGGUUUGAAAAAUCCGAAGAUCAGGACCAUUGUAGUAGGUGUGUGCUAAUUUUGUCUAUUAAAUCAAUACAAUCCUGAUUUUUUUUCCAUUGAUCUGGUUUUGGGUAUUAUUGAAACAAAAUGGGAUGAAACCUAGAAUCCAAAUAUUUUGUGUAUUGGAUAAUACAAGAUUAAUGGACAUAUGAUACGAAGUGAUUGAUUUA